GACGAACGCUGGCGGCGUGCUUAACACAUGCAAGUCGAACGGUGAAGCGCCUUCCUUUUUGUUUGGUGUGGAUGAGUGGCGAACGGGUGAGUAACACGUGAGUAACCUGCCCCCUUCUUCUGGAUAACCUCAUGAAAGUGUCGCUAAUACGGGAUAUUCUGUGUCUGUCGCAUGAUGGGUCUUGGAAAGCUUUUGUUUCGGUGUGAGAUGGGCUCGCGUCCUAUCAGCUUGUUGGUGGGGUGAUGGCCUACCAAGGCGGUGACGAGUAGCCGGCCUGAGAGGGUGGACGGUAACAGAGGGAAGACGACGCGGACAAGACUACGACGGGAGGCAGUGGGGAGGAAUAGUGCACGAGGGGAGGAAGGAUGAUGCAGUGACGCCGCGUGAGGGAAGGAGGCCUGCGGGUAGAGAACUUCUUUCGGGAGUGAAGAGGGCCUGCCUAGUAUGUGGGUGGGUUGACGGUAGCUGGAUAAGAAGCGCCGGCUAACUACGUG
Molecule: ribosomal RNA, 494 nt
Filed under: uncultured bacterium
Lineage: Bacteria
Description: partial 16S ribosomal RNA
Rfam family: Bacterial small subunit ribosomal RNA
Source: RNAcentral